UACGUAGGGGGCUAGCGUUGUCCGGAUUUAUUGGGCGUAAAGAGCGUGUAGGCGGCCAGGUAGGUCCGCUGUGAAAACUCGAGGCUUAACCUCGAGAUGUCGGUGGAAACCAUCUGGCUAGAGUCCGGAAGAGGAGAGUGGAAUUCCUGGUGUAGCGGUGAAAUGCGCAGAUAUCAGGAAGAACACCCGUGGCGAAGGCGGCUCUCUGGGACGGUACUGACGCUGAGACGCGAAAGCGUGGGGAGCGAACAGG
RNAcentral lists this ribosomal RNA (253 nucleotides) under uncultured bacterium. RNAcentral's name for it is "partial 16S ribosomal RNA". It matches the Rfam family "Bacterial small subunit ribosomal RNA", at positions 524 to 776 of the family's 1533-position model. The record is from RNAcentral.